RNAcentral lists this transfer RNA (72 nucleotides) under Cosmarium impressulum. Its description in RNAcentral is "tRNA-Gln". It matches the Rfam family "tRNA". Rfam says of the family: Transfer RNA (tRNA) molecules are approximately 80 nucleotides in length. Their secondary structure includes four short double-helical elements and three loops (D, anti-codon, and T loops). The record is from RNAcentral. RNAcentral also lists the same sequence under 1 other name. Lineage: Eukaryota; Viridiplantae; Streptophyta; Zygnematophyceae; Desmidiales; Desmidiaceae.
UCAGGCGUCGCCAAGUGGUAAGGCAGUGGGUUUUGAUCCCACUAUUCGGAGGUUCGAACCCUUCCGCCUGAG